RNAcentral lists this ribosomal RNA (269 nucleotides) under uncultured Oscillospiraceae bacterium. RNAcentral describes it as "partial 16S ribosomal RNA". It matches the Rfam family "Bacterial small subunit ribosomal RNA", at positions 74 to 339 of the family's 1533-position model. The record is from RNAcentral. Lineage: Bacteria; Bacillati; Bacillota; Clostridia; Eubacteriales; Oscillospiraceae.
UUCGUCCAAUUGAAGCAGAGGACAGUGGCGGACGGGUGAGUAACGCGUGAGGAACCUGGCUCUAAGAGGGGGACAACAGUUGGAAACGACUGCUAAUACCGCAUAACGUAUCGGGAUGGCAUCUUCCUGAUACCAAAGAUUUUAUCGCUUAGAGAUGGGCUCGCGUCUGAUUAGAUAGUUGGUGAGGUAACGGCCCACCAAGGCGACGAUCAGUAGCCGGACUGAGAGGUUGAACGGCCACAUUGGGACUGAGAUACGGCCCAGACUCC